GUUUCAGCCGCCGCGGUAAUACAGAGGGUGCAAGCGUUGUUCGGAAUUAUUGGGCGUAAAGCGCGUGUAGGCGGCGGAGCAUGUCGGGUGUGAAAGCCCUCGGCUUAACCGAGGAAGUGCGCCCGAAACUGCUUUGCUGGAGUGCUGGAGAGGGUAGCGGAAUUCCCGGUGUAGAGGUGAAAUUCGUAGAUAUCGGGAGGAACACCAGUGGCGAAGGCGGCUACCUGGACAGACACUGACGCUGAGACGCGAAAGCGUGGGGAGCAAACAGGAUUAGAUACCCUCGUAGUCC
RNAcentral lists this ribosomal RNA (292 nucleotides) under uncultured bacterium. Its description in RNAcentral is "partial 16S ribosomal RNA". It matches the Rfam family "Bacterial small subunit ribosomal RNA", at positions 505 to 796 of the family's 1533-position model. The record is from RNAcentral.